This 301-nucleotide ribosomal RNA is filed under the name uncultured bacterium. RNAcentral describes it as "partial 16S ribosomal RNA". It matches the Rfam family "Bacterial small subunit ribosomal RNA", at positions 509 to 809 of the family's 1533-position model. The record is from RNAcentral.
CAGCCGCCGCGGUAAUACGUAGGUGGCAAGCGUUGUCCGGAAUUAUUGGGCGUAAAGGGCUCGCAGGCGGUCUCUUAAGUCUGAUGUGAAAGCCCCAGGCUCAACCGGGGAGGGUCAUUGGAAACUGGGAAACUUGAGUGCAGAAGAGGAGAGUGGAAUUCCACGUGUAGCGGUGAAAUGCGUAGAGAUGUGGAGGAACACCAGUGGCGAAGGCGACUCUCUGGUCUGUAACUGACGCUGAGGAGCGAAAGCGUGGGGAGCGAACAGGAUUAGAUACCCCGGUAGUCCCUGUCUCUUAUAA